CUCCUACGGGAGGCUGCAGCGACGAAUCUUCCGCAAUGGGCGAAAGCCUGACGGAGCGAUGCCGCGUGUGGGAUGAAGCGGCUUUGCCGUGUAAACCACUGUCAGGAAAUAGAAACACUGAUCAUUUCCAAAGGAAGGGGCGACUAACUCUGUGCCAGCAGUCGCGGUAAUACAGAGGCCCCGAGCGUUAGUCGGAAUUACUGGGCUUAAAGGGUGCGUAGGCGGAUCGUUAAGUGUCGUGUGAAAGCCUGGGGCUUAACCUCAGAACUGCACGGCAAACUGGCGAUCUUGAGGAAGGUAGAGGCGGGUAGAACGGUUGGUGGAGCGGUGGAAUGCGUAGAUAUCAACCGGAAUGCCGAAGGUGAAGACAGCCCGCUGGGCCUUUCCUGACGCUGAGGCACGAAAGCGUGGGGAGCAAACAGGAUUAGAUACCCUGGUAGUCCACGCCCUAAACUAUGUACGCUGAGUCGGAGCGGCUCUGAUGCCGUUCGGACUGGAGAGAAAUU
RNAcentral lists this ribosomal RNA (506 nucleotides) under uncultured bacterium. RNAcentral describes it as "bacterial SSU rRNA". It matches the Rfam family "Bacterial small subunit ribosomal RNA", at positions 336 to 858 of the family's 1533-position model. The record is from RNAcentral.